Papaver somniferum (opium poppy) is the source of this 170-nucleotide long non-coding RNA. RefSeq lists it as uncharacterized. NCBI's taxonomy places the organism in Eukaryota, Viridiplantae, Streptophyta, Magnoliopsida, Ranunculales, Papaveraceae. The record is from RefSeq and is a predicted model, not a curated record. The transcript is spliced from 3 exons.
GGUGGAUUCAAAAUCAGCAUAAAAGGCUUACUUCAAGAGGUUUCAAGUCAAAUUCAAGCGAAGGAGAGGAAGAGCAUCUGAAUUGGACACCUAUCUAGAAAAUAUUUAUUUGGUUCCUAGAAGGCUAAAGGACCUGUGUGCUAUGUUACUUGAAAGAGGAUUCAAGGGUU